This 506-nucleotide ribosomal RNA is filed under the name uncultured bacterium. RNAcentral's name for it is "partial 16S ribosomal RNA". It matches the Rfam family "Bacterial small subunit ribosomal RNA", at positions 29 to 523 of the family's 1533-position model. The record is from RNAcentral.
AGUGAACGCUGGCGGUAGGCCUAACACAUGCAAGUCGAACGGCAGCACAGAGGAGCUUGCUCCUUGGGUGGCGAGUGGCGGACGGGUGAGGAAUACAUCGGAAUCUACUCUGUCGUGGGGGAUAACGUAGGGAAACUUACGCUAAUACCGCAUACGACCUACGGGUGAAAGCAGGGGACCUUCGGGCCUUGCGCGAUUGAAUGAGCCGAUGUCGGAUUAGCUAGUUGGCGGGGUAAAGGCCCACCAAGGCGACGAUCCGUAGCUGGUCUGAAGGGAUGAGCAGCCACACUGGAACUGAGACACGGUCCAGACUCCUACGGGAGGCAGCAGUGGGGAAUAUUGGACAAUGGGCGCAAGCCUGAUCCAGCCAUACCGCGUGGGUGAAGAAGGCCUUCGGGUUGUAAAGCCCUUUUGUUGGGAAAGAAAUCCAGCUGGCUAAUACCCGGUUGGGAUGACGGUACCCAAAGAAUAAGCACCGGCUAACUUCGUGCCAGCCGCCGCAGUAA